UGGCAUUUGCUUUCCUGUGAUCAUUUGUUGCUUUUGUUCUUGUAUGUGAGGAUCCAUUGUAAGUCCCUGUAAUGUGGCAUUGGUUUUCCUAUGAUCAUAUGUGGAGUUAACCUAAGUCCAGAUAGAUUGGCAGUUGACUUCCAUAUUUCAUCUUUGUUUUCUUUUUAGGAGAUUAGUGUAAGACCAUUGAGUGGCCUCUGAUAUCCAUUUCUGUUUUAGGAGACUGGUGUAAAUCCAUCUAUUGGUAUCCGGUAUCCGCCUUUUAUUUCUUUUCGUUUGAGGAGAUUAGUGUAAGUCCAUUGAGUGGCAUCUGAUAUCCAGUUUUAUCUUAGGAGAUUGGUAUAAGCCCAGUGAUUGGCAUCCGGUAUCCGCUUUUCUUUUGCUUUAUUUGUUUGUUAUUAUCCAUUGCUAUUCCAAAGGACACACUUGAAUCAUCCUCUAUAUGAUCUCAAGAAGUGAACCCUCUAAG
This 469-nucleotide long non-coding RNA is filed under the name Lathyrus oleraceus (garden pea). RNAcentral describes it as "Pisum sativum (pea) long non-coding RNA (PSAT_LNC027768)". Lineage: Eukaryota; Viridiplantae; Streptophyta; Magnoliopsida; Fabales; Fabaceae. The record is from RNAcentral.